This 689-nucleotide ribosomal RNA is filed under the name Neobacillus niacini. RNAcentral describes it as "partial 23S ribosomal RNA". It matches the Rfam family "Bacterial large subunit ribosomal RNA", at positions 2238 to 2925 of the family's 2925-position model. The record is from RNAcentral. Lineage: Bacteria; Bacillati; Bacillota; Bacilli; Caryophanales; Bacillaceae.
AUCGGGGUGGGAGACAGUGUCAGGUGGGCAGUUUGACUGGGGCGGUCGCCUCCUAAAGAGUAACGGAGGCGCCCAAAGGUUCCCUCAGAAUGGUUGGAAAUCAUUCGCAGAGUGUAAAGGCAUAAGGGAGCUUGACUGCGAGACCUACAAGUCGAGCAGGGACGAAAGUCGGGCUUAGUGAUCCGGUGGUUCCGCAUGGAAGGGCCAUCGCUCAACGGAUAAAAGCUACCCUGGGGAUAACAGGCUUAUCUCCCCCAAGAGUCCACAUCGACGGGGAGGUUUGGCACCUCGAUGUCGGCUCAUCGCAUCCUGGGGCUGUAGUCGGUCCCAAGGGUUGGGCUGUUCGCCCAUUAAAGCGGUACGCGAGCUGGGUUCAGAACGUCGUGAGACAGUUCGGUCCCUAUCCGUCGUGGGCGCAGGAAAUUUGAGAGGAGCUGUCCUUAGUACGAGAGGACCGGGAUGGACGCACCGCUGGUGUACCAGUUGUCUUGCCAAAGGCAUCGCUGGGUAGCUAUGUGCGGACGGGAUAAGUGCUGAAAGCAUCUAAGCAUGAAGCCCCCCUCAAGAUGAGAUUUCCCAUAGCGUCAAGCUAGUAAGAUCCCUGAAAGAUGAUCAGGUUGAUAGGUCAGAGGUGGAAGCGUGGUGACAUGUGGAGCUGACUGAUACUAAUCGAUCGAGGACUUAACCAU